AGACUUCCUGGUCACGGUAAUGUCUCUUCCAACGUGGAGCCAGGACGCUCCGCCUUUGGGGAACGCUGGUGCAGGGCUUGGGACUCAGGGCAGUGCGGUCGAGCCCCUACCCACUCCGGAGAACCCCCGGCCCCGCCAGCGCGGCCGGGCUGCUGGCUCCCCUGGCGUCCGGUCGAGGCGCACACCCGCCUCGGUCCGACUGUGACCCCGGUGAGCUUCGGACCAUUCUGCCCCGCGACCUCAGCCUGAGAAGACCCGGGGCCCUGCCAGCUCCCGGGACUAUAACUUCAGUUGAGUCGCUACUUCCGCGGAUCCUGAGCUGGGGGAAAGUCGAGGGGUCCGGAAGGCUCAGGAGGGAUCGUGGACUUCAGGGUUCCCAGGCUGCUGGCGUGGAGCACCAACACCUUACAUGGAGGGGUUUCUGCUGCCAGAGCAGGCAAGGCCCUCCCCUCCCUAGUUUCUCACUGACCCCUUCUGGGUGUCCUCACGCAACUACACCAGCCACUGGUCUCCGCACUUUCCAGAGGGCCUGUGGGCAACUACGAAGCCGAACACUGCCAACCCAUCCACCCAGCAUCCCUGCAGCAUGCACAGAAAGGUUCACCCAGCAUGGUGUGCAAUAGGAAACUAAGCUCCUAUCUCAGCCUAUUUCUGGAUUGAUGCACGCUGUGCAAAAUGCCGUGGCAGCAGGAAGAGGGCUGCACAUAAGCAAGGGGUUCUGGAAAUUAAGACGUCUAGAGGAGAAAGCGUGAGACAUCCCGUGAUGGCAAUGCCACCGCCACCCCCUUGCCUAACCAAACCGUCCUCUGCUCCGGGCAAGUGGCCAUCUGGGAGCAUUAGCCAGGGAGGCACUCAUUGUGUCUUGCCAUCACGUCCACAGAGGGGGCCCCACACCUUGUCAUACUCAUUUGACAAACUCUCCAGAACUGCUGGUGCCAGCCCCCACAGGUCACCUUACAGGGCAACUCCAGACUCCACAAUGUGAGUCUAAUAUGUGUUCCAAGAAUCAAACAGGAUGAGCACCAAGACAUAAAGCUUAGAAAUAGCAAGACUGCUUUUCAGAUGCACAUGCACGCUUGUUUUCCAAAGGAAUUAGAUUUAUUCUGCAUGAAAACGGAAAGUGUUCACUCCCCAAGCUGAGAGCUGAGGAGGUGGCACUGUGCUGAGUCCAGCCAGGGCUUGGGUCCUGCCCCAGUCUGACAGGCCUGCUGAGCCUGGGAGGGGCCCAAGAGAAAGCCCCUGCAAAGCCCCGAAACCUACAUGCUAGGUAGCCUGUGCUGGAGUCACUCAAAGGGGCCUGUGGCUGUCAGUCAUCCUUGCUUCCCCUUGGCGGCGGUGAGUUCUCCCUUUCCGAUGAUGAUGAUGACGAUGAAGUAUCUGCUGGCAAGCCCCUUGUAUCUAUCCGGCAGAACACGCAUUGGGUGAACAUUUCAGAAGAGGUGUCACUCUUGAAGAUGGAGAAAGGCCUGUCACAUCUUUCGCACUGACAUGGGAUAUUUUAAAAGAGCAGAAAGGAGGUGCUGGUCAGAGGUGAUCCAGGCAUGCCAUUAGAAUUCUCCCAGCUACCUUGAGCUGGGGCAAGGCAAGGGUUCCCCUCUCUGGAAUCUCUUUUUGGUUUGUUUGUUUGUUUUUGUUUUUGUUUUUGAGACAGAGUCUCACUUUGUUGCCCAGGCUGGAGUGCAGUGGCACCAUCUAGGCUUACUGCAACCUCCGCCUCCCAGGUUCAAGCAAUUCUCCUGCCUCAGCCACCCGAGUAGCUGGGAUUACAGGCGUGCACCACCACAUCCUGCUAAUUUUUGUAUUUUUAGUAGAGAUGGGGUUUCUCCAUGUUGGCCAGGCUGGUCUUGAACUCCUGGCCUCAAGUGAUCCACCCACCUUGGCAGCCCAGAGUGCUGGGAUUACAGGCGUGAGCCACUGGGCGCAGCCCCUCUCUGGAAUCUCUAACCCCACAAAGGCGGAAAUUGCAGAGAGAAUGAGCACAGGCUGCUUCCCCACCAAUGGCUAAGCAGGUCCUGCCAGCUCAUGUCUCCUGCCAGCUCAUGUCUCCUGCCAGCUCAUGUCUCCUGCCAUGGGGGUCCUGAGGACAUGCGUGGCAAGCCCCUUGACAGUUGGGAGGAUGGGGGUGAGUGUCCCGCCCCAUCCAUUGUUCUGUGCCGAGUAAAAUUGUGGGACUAAGAGGAUGACUCCCUGACAUCCUGAGAACACCCAACUUUUACAGAACCAUGAGACGCAAGUAGGCAAGAUUUCUGAACAAAGCAGGGGUGUGAAGCAGAUUGAUGCAGGUGCUAGGUGCCCUCCUGCGUCCCUGAGCCUGUUUCUGGCCAAAGCUCACAGAGUACACUGAAAACAAAUGGCACAGCUCACCCAUCACGUCUGCUUCCCACUAACAAGCAAGAGUGCCAUGGGAUGAGGUCUCCUAGGCCAUGGGCAGAGGCCCCUCAGGGGUUCCCACCAUGCAUGGUCCCCUGGAGAAGAGCCUGCAAGGUGGCCGCGCCCCUGCCCUGGCUCUCCCAGCCCCUGGGCUUUGCUGUUCUGCCCACUCCAGGACACUGAGGCCUGCUGGAGAGGGGGGUAAACCCUACCUGGGGCAGGCCUCGGGGAAGCCUGGCCUCAGGCUUCUCAUGUUGAUUGAUUCAGAGCAAGUCAAAUGCAGCAGGCUCAUCCUUGCUUCAGCUUCAGAAUUUAAGCUCCCCUGGGGCAAAAAUGUCAGUCUGUUUGUUCACGAUUGCAUCUCCAGGUGCCCAAAGUUCAUUCAAAUGAUAAAUUAAUUUAUAGAGGGAACUAACGAAAGCCUUCACUGGGCUUAAUUUUACCCAAUACCAACCUGUUUCAACUUUAAGCCCACGGCCUUUUUGUACUUGAUUACCAAAGGAAUUUCAUCAAUUUCUUCAAUAUUCCACAGUCUCAUGGUCCUAUCCUAAAACAAAUAGCAAACCAGCGGUCACAAAACAGGCUGUGGUACAUCCAUACAAAGGAAUGUCAUUCAACAAUCAAAAGACAUGGGCUGUCAAGGCACAAAAAGACAGAGGAACCUUCAAUGCACAUUGUUAUGCCAUAGAAGCCAACCUGAAGAGGCUACAGAGUAUAAUUCCAACCAUAUGACAUUCUGGAAAAGGCAAAACUGAAGAAUAUAAAUAGAUGAGUCAUUGCCCAGGAUUAUAGGGAAGAGGAGGAGGGAUGAAUAGUAAAACUAUUCUGUAUGGCCAGGCGCGGUGGCUCAUGCCUGUAAUCCGACCACUUUGAGAGGCCAAGGUGGGUGAGGUCAGGAGUUCAAGACCAGCCUGACCAAUAUGGUGAAACCCCGUCUCUACUAAAAAUACAAAAAUAGCUGGGCACAGUGGCGUGCACCUGUAGUCCCAGCUACUUGGGAGGCUGAGGCAGGAGAAUCACUUGAACCCAGGAGGCGGAGGUUGCAGUGAGCCAAGAUCGCACCACUGCACUCAAGCCUGUGCGACAGAGUGAGACUCUGUCUCAAAACAAACAAACAAACAAAACUAUAUGACACUGUAUUGGUGGAUAUAUGAUAUGCAUUUGGCAAAAAUAUACAGUAACACAAAGCAUGAAACUAUAAAACCAUGGACCUUAGUUAAUAAUAGUUCCUGAAAGGAAUGCAGUCCUGUUGAUACCUAGAUUUUAGCCCAGUGAGAGCUUAUCAGACUUCUAUCUUACAGUACUGUAAGAUAUUAAAUUUAUGUUGUUUAAUGUUUAAACAGUACAGUCUGGUAACUUAUUAUAGCAGCAAUAAAAAAAUGGAUACAUUGA
Molecule: long non-coding RNA, 3762 nt
Organism: Homo sapiens (human)
Lineage: Eukaryota; Metazoa; Chordata; Mammalia; Primates; Hominidae
Exons: 2
Source: RefSeq, a predicted model, not a curated record